This 439-nucleotide ribosomal RNA is filed under the name uncultured bacterium. RNAcentral describes it as "partial 16S ribosomal RNA". It matches the Rfam family "Bacterial small subunit ribosomal RNA", at positions 339 to 795 of the family's 1533-position model. The record is from RNAcentral.
CUACGGGACGCUCCAGUGGGGAAUUUUGCGCAAUGGGGGAAACCCUGACGCAGCAAUACCGCGUGAGUGAAGAAGGCCUUUGGGUCGUAAAGCUCUUUUCUUGGGGAAGAUAGUGACGGUACCCAAGGAAUAAGCACCGGCUAACUCCGUGCCAGCAGCCGCGGUAAUACGGAGGGUGCAAGCGUUGUUCGGAUUUACUGGGCGUAAAGGGCACGUAGGCGGCACAGCAAGUUAAGGGUGAAAUCCCGGGGCUCAACUCCGGAACUGCUCUUAAAACUGCUGAGCUAGAGAUAGUCAGAGGCGGGUGGAAUUCCAGGUGUAGAGGUGAAAUUCGUAGAUAUCUGGAGGAACACCGGUGGCGAAGGCGGCCCGCUGGGGCUAUUCUGACGCUAAGGUGCGAAAGCGUGGGGAGCAAACGGGAUUAGAUACCCGGGUAGUC